This is a long non-coding RNA of Haliotis rubra (blacklip abalone), 301 nucleotides long. RefSeq lists it as uncharacterized. The transcript is spliced from 2 exons. Lineage: Eukaryota; Metazoa; Mollusca; Gastropoda; Lepetellida; Haliotidae. The record is from RefSeq and is a predicted model, not a curated record.
CAUGCAGACACCAUGUCUCAAAUGGAAACAUCUCGUGUCUCAUGCAGACACCAUGUCUCAGAUGGAGACACAUCUCAUGUCUCAUGCAGACACCAGGUUUCAGAUGGAGACACAUCUCAUGUCUCAUGCAGUCACCAUGUCUCAGAUGGAGACACAUCUCAUGUCACAUGCAGACACCAUGUUUCAGAUGGAGACACAUCUCAUGUCACCUAUCUCAUGACACAACGUUUUUAUGUGGUGAUAUUUUGAGAUUGAAGGCUUACAUGUUGUGUGUCUAUUUAUUGCCUCUAUAAUUAGCAUG